AGGAAAAUAGUUUAAAUAAAACAUUAUACCGAUAAUAUAACAUUGUAAACACUUUACUUUUCUAA
Molecule: transfer RNA, 65 nt
Filed under: Rossellidae sp. DVL-2014
Lineage: Eukaryota; Metazoa; Porifera; Hexactinellida; Lyssacinosida; Rossellidae
Description: tRNA-Ile
Source: RNAcentral